RNAcentral lists this ribosomal RNA (486 nucleotides) under uncultured bacterium. Its description in RNAcentral is "partial 16S ribosomal RNA". It matches the Rfam family "Bacterial small subunit ribosomal RNA", at positions 30 to 507 of the family's 1533-position model. The record is from RNAcentral.
AUUGAACGCUGGCGGCAUGCCUUACACAUGCAAGUCGAACGGCAGCACGGGUGCUUGCACCUGGUGGCGAGUGGCGAACGGGUGAGUAAUACAUCGGAACAUGUCCUGUAGUGGGGGAUAGCCCGGCGAAAGCCGGAUUAAUACCGCAUACGAUCCACGGAUGAAAGCGGGGGACCUUCGGGCCUCGCGCUAUAGGGUUGGCCGAUGGCUGAUUAGCUAGUUGGUGGGGUAAAGGCCUACCAAGGCGACGAUCAGUAGCUGGUCUGAGAGGACGACCAGCCACACUGGGACUGAGACACGGCCCAGACUCCUACGGGAGGCAGCAGUGGGGAAUUUUGGAUAAUGGGCGAAAGCCUGAUCCAGCAAUGCCGCGUGUGUGAAGAAGGCCUUCGGGUUGUAAAGCACUUUUGUCCGGAAAGAAAUCCUUGGCUCUAAUACAGUCGGGGGAUGACGGUACCGGAAGAAUAAGCACCGGCUAACUACGUG